AGAGUUUGAUCAUGGCUCAGGAUGAACGCUGGCUACAGGCUUAACACAUGCAAGUCGAGGGGCAGCAUGAACUUAGCUUGCUAAGUUUGAUGGCGACCGGCGCACGGGUGAGUAACACGUAUCCAACCUGCCGAUGACUCGGGGAUAGCCUUUCGAAAGAAGGAUUAAUACCCGAUGGCAUAGUUCUUCCGCAUGGUAGAACUAUUAAAGAAUUUCGGUCAUCGAUGGGAUGCGUUCCAUUAGGUUGUUGGCGGGUAACGGCCCACCAAGCCUUCGAUGGAUAGGGGUUCUGAGAGGAAGGUCCCCACAUUGGAACUGAGACACGGUCCAACUCCUACGGAGGCAGCA
This 348-nucleotide ribosomal RNA is filed under the name uncultured bacterium. RNAcentral's name for it is "bacterial SSU rRNA". It matches the Rfam family "Bacterial small subunit ribosomal RNA", at positions 8 to 353 of the family's 1533-position model. The record is from RNAcentral.